Molecule: ribosomal RNA, 829 nt
Filed under: Xanthoparmelia sp.
Lineage: Eukaryota; Fungi; Ascomycota; Lecanoromycetes; Lecanorales; Parmeliaceae
Description: SSU rRNA
Rfam family: Bacterial small subunit ribosomal RNA
Source: RNAcentral
GUAUAGCAAUAGCUACUUGCAUCAUAGUAGAUAUGAUGCAAGAUCGACUAUGUUGAAUAAAAUUCUAGGUAGAAUUAUGAUAAUGACAUUGUCUGCCUAUGUGUCUUGACCAAAUUACGUGCCAGCAGUCGCGGUAAUACGUAGAAGACUAGUGUUAUUCAUGUUUAAUCGGUUUAAAGGGUACCUAGACGGUAGAUCAAGCUUUCUAAUAAAGGAAAAGGACUAAUUUACUAGAGUUACUUAUGAGGGGGUAUUAAAGUACUGCUGGUGUAGAGAUGAAAUUCUGUCAUACCUCUUUUCAAAAGAAAAACCAUGGCACAGGUAUAGGCGAAGGCAUCCCCUUAUGUGAUAACUGACGUUGAGGGACGAAGGCUUUGUGUAGCGAACAGGAUUAGAUACCCCAGUAGUCGAAGCAGAAAAUGAUGAAUGUCAUAGAUUAGAUAUAUAAGUUUAUUCUAUAAAUGAAAGUGUAAGCAUUCCACCUCAUGAGUAAUUUGGCAACAUUGGAACUGAAAUCAUUAGACCGUUUCUGAAACCAGUAGUGAAGUAUGUUGUUUAAUUUGAUGACCCGCAAAAAACCUUACCACAAUUUGAAUAUUUAUAUUAUUUAUUGUWUUAUUAUUARUWUWYUUAUAKUAWAUUAUUGUUUUAUUAUUAAUUUUCUUAUAGUAAGAAUAUUAAUAAAGAGGCAAUAAGAUAUAUUUACAAGCGUUGCACGGCUGUCUUCAGUUAAUGUCGCGAGACUUUGGUUAGUUCCAUUAAAUUAACGUAAACCCUUACUUUAUUUUUAUAUAGAGUAGUUCCCCGCUAUAUUGGAUAUGAUAACAGG